Molecule: ribosomal RNA, 807 nt
Filed under: Ruegeria sp. AU602
Lineage: Bacteria; Pseudomonadati; Pseudomonadota; Alphaproteobacteria; Rhodobacterales; Roseobacteraceae
Description: bacterial SSU rRNA
Rfam family: Bacterial small subunit ribosomal RNA
Source: RNAcentral
UGCAGUCGAGCGCACCUUCGGGUGAGCGGCGGACGGGUUAGUAACGCGUGGGAACAUACCCUUUGGUACGGAAUAGCCUCUGGAAACGGAGAGUAAUACCGUAUGAGCCCUUCGGGGGAAAGAUUUAUCGCCAAAGGAUUGGCCCGCGUUAGAUUAGGUAGUUGGUGGGGUAAUGGCCUACCAAGCCUACGAUCUAUAGCUGGUUUUAGAGGAUGAUCAGCAACACUGGGACUGAGACACGGCCCAGACUCCUACGGGAGGCAGCAGUGGGGAAUCUUGGACAAUGGGGGCAACCCUGAUCCAGCCAUGCCGCGUGAGUGAUGAAGGCCUUAGGGUCGUAAAGCUCUUUCGCCUGUGAAGAUAAUGACGGUAGCAGGUAAAGAAACCCCGGCUAACUCCGUGCCAGCAGCCGCGGUAAUACGGAGGGGGUUAGCGUUGUUCGGAAUUACUGGGCGUAAAGCGCACGUAGGCGGACUGGAAAGUUGGGGGUGAAAUCCCAGGGCUCAACCCUGGAACUGCCUCCAAAACUAUCAGUCUAGAGUUCGAGAGAGGUGAGUGGAAUUCCGAGUGUAGAGGUGAAAUUCGUAGAUAUUCGGAGGAACACCAGUGGCGAAGGCGGCUCACUGGCUCGAUACUGACGCUGAGGUGCGAAAGUGUGGGGAGCAAACAGGAUUAGAUACCCUGGUAGUCCACACCGUAAACGAUGAAUGCCAGUCGUCGGGUAGCAUGCUAUUCGGUGACACACCUAACGGAUUAAGCAUUCCGCCUGGGGAGUACGGUCGCAAGAUUAAAACUCAAAGGAAUUGA